RNAcentral lists this ribosomal RNA (253 nucleotides) under uncultured bacterium. Its description in RNAcentral is "partial 16S ribosomal RNA". It matches the Rfam family "Bacterial small subunit ribosomal RNA", at positions 524 to 776 of the family's 1533-position model. The record is from RNAcentral.
UACGUAGGGGGCAAGCGUUGUCCGGAAUCAUUGGGCGUAAAGAGCGUGUAGGCGGUUCGGUAAGUCGGCUGUGAAAGUCCAGGGCUCAACCCUGGGAUGCCGGUCGAUACUGCCGGACUAGAGUUCGGAAGAGGCGAGUGGAAUUCCCGGUGUAGCGGUGAAAUGCGCAGAUAUCGGGAGGAACACCCAUGGCGAAGGCAGCUCGCUGGGACGUUACUGACGCUGAGACGCGAAAGCGUGGGGAGCAAACAGG